This 1551-nucleotide ribosomal RNA is filed under the name Pectobacterium parmentieri. RNAcentral's name for it is "bacterial SSU rRNA". It matches the Rfam family "Bacterial small subunit ribosomal RNA". Lineage: Bacteria; Pseudomonadati; Pseudomonadota; Gammaproteobacteria; Enterobacterales; Pectobacteriaceae. The record is from RNAcentral.
AAAUUGAAGAGUUUGAUCAUGGCUCAGAUUGAACGCUGGCGGCAGGCCUAACACAUGCAAGUCGAGCGGUAGCACAGAAGAGCUUGCUCUUCGGGUGACGAGCGGCGGACGGGUGAGUAAUGUCUGGGAAACUGCCUGAUGGAGGGGGAUAACUACUGGAAACGGUAGCUAAUACCGCAUAACGUCUUCGGACCAAAGAGGGGGACCUUCGGGCCUCUUGCCAUCGGAUGUGCCCAGAUGGGAUUAGCUAGUAGGUGAGGUAAUGGCUCACCUAGGCGACGAUCCCUAGCUGGUCUGAGAGGAUGACCAGCCACACUGGAACUGAGACACGGUCCAGACUCCUACGGGAGGCAGCAGUGGGGAAUAUUGCACAAUGGGCGCAAGCCUGAUGCAGCCAUGCCGCGUGUGUGAAGAAGGCCUUCGGGUUGUAAAGCACUUUCAGCGGGGAGGAAGGCGAUAAGGUUAAUAACCUUGUCGAUUGACGUUACCCGCAGAAGAAGCACCGGCUAACUCCGUGCCAGCAGCCGCGGUAAUACGGAGGGUGCAAGCGUUAAUCGGAAUGACUGGGCGUAAAGCGCACGCAGGCGGUCUGUUAAGUUGGAUGUGAAAUCCCCGGGCUUAACCUGGGAACUGCAUUCAAAACUGACAGGCUAGAGUCUUGUAGAGGGGGGUAGAAUUCCAGGUGUAGCGGUGAAAUGCGUAGAGAUCUGGAGGAAUACCGGUGGCGAAGGCGGCCCCCUGGACAAAGACUGACGCUCAGGUGCGAAAGCGUGGGGAGCAAACAGGAUUAGAUACCCUGGUAGUCCACGCUGUAAACGAUGUCGACUUGGAGGUUGUGCCCUUGAGGCGUGGCUUCCGGAGCUAACGCGUUAAGUCGACCGCCUGGGGAGUACGGCCGCAAGGUUAAAACUCAAAUGAAUUGACGGGGGCCCGCACAAGCGGUGGAGCAUGUGGUUUAAUUCGAUGCAACGCGAAGAACCUUACCUACUCUUGACAUCCACAGAUUUGGUAGAGAUACCUUAGUGCCUUCGGGAACUGUGAGACAGGUGCUGCAUGGCUGUCGUCAGCUCGUGUUGUGAAAUGUUGGGUUAAGUCCCGCAACGAGCGCAACCCUUAUCCUUUGUUGCCAGCGAGUAAUGUCGGGAACUCAAAGGAGACUGCCGGUGAUAAACCGGAGGAAGGUGGGGAUGACGUCAAGUCAUCAUGGCCCUUACGAGUAGGGCUACACACGUGCUACAAUGGCGUAUACAAAGAGAAGCGAACUCGCGAGAGCAAGCGGACCUCAUAAAGUACGUCGUAGUCCGGAUUGGAGUCUGCAACUCGACUCCAUGAAGUCGGAAUCGCUAGUAAUCGUAGAUCAGAAUGCUACGGUGAAUACGUUCCCGGGCCUUGUACACACCGCCCGUCACACCAUGGGAGUGGGUUGCAAAAGAAGUAGGUAGCUUAACCUUCGGGAGGGCGCUUACCACUUUGUGAUUCAUGACUGGGGUGAAGUCGUAACAAGGUAACCGUAGGGGAACCUGCGGUUGGAUCACCUCCUUACCAAAAAGA